RNAcentral lists this small RNA (204 nucleotides) under Vigna angularis var. angularis. Its description in RNAcentral is "Non-protein coding transcript". Lineage: Eukaryota; Viridiplantae; Streptophyta; Magnoliopsida; Fabales; Fabaceae. The record is from RNAcentral.
UUCUAUGAAAAUCCUCUCAACAAGUACAGGGCUAUCUUUGUACACGAGUUCUUCAACACUCCUUGGAAAAUAGCAUCUACUACAGUUGCCAUUGUACUACUUUUGAUCACGUCUCUCUCUUUGUUCAAUCAUCUCACUAUUCUAUUUUAGGGUAAUUAAAGAGAGGAUUCAUCAAAUAAGCAACAAGGAAAUCAGGUAGUGAAG